GACGUAGGGCGCGGGCGUUGUCCGGAUUUAUUGGGCGUAAAGAGCUCGUAGGCGGCUUGUUGCGUCAGCUGUGAAAACCCGCAGCUCAACUGUGGGCUUGCAGCUGAUACGGGCAGGCUUGAGUUCGGUAGGGGAGACUGGAAUUCCUGGUGUAGCGGUGGAAUGCGCAGAUAUCAGGAGGAACACCGGUGGCGAAGGCGGGUCUCUGGGCAGUAACUGACGCUGAGAAGCGAAAGCGUGGGGAGCGAACAGG
Molecule: ribosomal RNA, 253 nt
Filed under: uncultured bacterium
Lineage: Bacteria
Description: partial 16S ribosomal RNA
Rfam family: Bacterial small subunit ribosomal RNA
Source: RNAcentral